AUUGAACGCUGGCGGCAUGCCUUACACAUGCAAGUCGAACGGCAGCACGGGUGCUUGCACCUGGUGGCGAGUGGCGAACGGGUGAGUAAUACAUCGGAACAUGUCCUGUAGUGGGGGAUAGCCCGGCGAAAGCCGGAUUAAUACCGCAUACGAUCCACGGAAGAAAGCGGGGGACCUUCGGGCCUCGCGCUAUAGGGUUGGCCGAUGGCUGAUUAGCUAGUUGGUGGGGUAAAGGCCUACCAAGGCGACGAUCAGUAGCUGGUCUGAGAGGACGACCAGCCACACUGGGACUGAGACACGGCCCAGACUCCUACGGGAGGCAGCAGUGGGGAAUUUUGGACAAUGGGCGAAAGCCUGAUCCAGCAAUGCCGCGUGUGUGAAGAAGGACUUCGGGUUGUAAAGCACUUUUGUCCGGAAAGAAAUCCUUGACUCUAAUACAGUCGGGGGAUGACGGUACCGGAAGAAUAAGCACCGGCUAACUACGUG
This 486-nucleotide ribosomal RNA is filed under the name uncultured bacterium. RNAcentral's name for it is "partial 16S ribosomal RNA". It matches the Rfam family "Bacterial small subunit ribosomal RNA", at positions 30 to 507 of the family's 1533-position model. The record is from RNAcentral.